CCUUCUCCUUCGGCACUUUCGAACUCUCCGGACCUGGAGAGAGAGCUUGUUCAUACUCUCCGUUCUCCAUCUAUCCUCCUCAGCGGAUCAGCUCGUGUGGACAGGUGCAUGAGAUCCGUCUGCAGCUGCCGUGAAGCCUUGCCGUGAGUUCUUCCCCUGUUUGUUGCUCGUUUGCUGUUCAUCUGUGUCCCUGUUCGUUCUUGUUUUUUUUUUGGGUGUUGCUGGACGUCAUUCUCCCUUGUCGGUCUCAAAAUAAUUUCGUAGAAAUGGCAAGUUCAUUCGCCUAUUCAUCUCCUUCCGUCCAAACUGAUGUGGCUUAGUGUAUGAGGUUCCUUUCUUCUUCCCCUGUUCAGCGCGGCAGAUUCAUCCUUCUCACUUUCAUGUUCUAUACUAAUCGAUUGAAGCGAGUGCUGUGGUUCGGGUAACGGGUUCUUGGUCACUCACUCUGCUGUCAGCCUCCGCAUCCUUCUCUGUUAUUAGGGGUUUUGUCAAACUCACAGCUUCCUUCAUUUUGCUUGCGGCAAUCGAAGACCAUGAGUGGCAAGAAACUUCCUCCUUAAUUUCCCUCUGUCUGUGUGUUGCUUCGUGGUUGCUGCCAUGGUUUCAUGAUUUUCUUUUCCCCAGCUCCUGUCGAUUUUUCCCAUUUCUGCCGUCGGUGGUUCUAAGAUAGCAUAAUUGACGCUGUACGUCUUGCUUACUAAUGAUGGAUGUUUGCGGAACAGAAUGAAGGCUUGUUUUGUAAAUAUAUCUUAUUGAUAUAAAUAUGAAAUUUAUGUAUUA
Molecule: long non-coding RNA, 780 nt
Organism: Prosopis cineraria
Lineage: Eukaryota; Viridiplantae; Streptophyta; Magnoliopsida; Fabales; Fabaceae
Exons: 2
Source: RefSeq, a predicted model, not a curated record